GUUGAACGCUGGCGGCGUGCCUAAUACAUGCAAGUCGAGCGAACAGACGCGGCGCUUGCUCCUUUGACGUUAGCGGCGGACGGGUGAGUAACACGUAGGUAACCUACCUAUAGGACUGGGAUAACUUCGGGAAACCGGAGCUAAUACCGGAUAAUAUUUCGAACCGCAUGGUUCGAUAGUGAAAGAUGGCUUUGCUGUCACUUAUAGAUGAACCUGCGUCGUAUUAGCUAGUUGGUCAGGUAACGGCUUACCAAGGCAACGAUCCGUAGCAGACCUGAGAGGGUGAGCGGCCACACUGGAACUGAGACACGGUCCAGACUCCUACGGGAGGCAGCAGUAGGGAAUUUUGCGCAAUGGGCGCAAGCCUGACGGAGCAACGCCGCGUGCGGGAUGAAGGCCUUCGGAUCGUAAAACUCUGUUAUUAGGGAAGAAAAAACUUGUAAGUAACUGUGCACGUAUUGACGGUACCUAAUCAGAAAGCCACGGCUAACUACGUG
Molecule: ribosomal RNA, 497 nt
Filed under: uncultured bacterium
Lineage: Bacteria
Description: partial 16S ribosomal RNA
Rfam family: Bacterial small subunit ribosomal RNA
Source: RNAcentral